CCUACGGGUGUCAGCAGUGGGGAAUAUUGGACAAUGGGGGCCACCCUGAUCCAGCCAUGCCGCGUGUGUGAAGAAGGCCCUCGGGUUGUAAAGCACUUUCAGUGAGGAAGAACGCCUGGUGGUUAAUACCCAUCAGGUAAGACAUCACUCACAGAAGAAGCACCGGCUAACUCCGUGCCAGCAGCCGCGGUAAUACGGAGGGUGCGAGCGUUAAUCGGAAUUACUGGGCGUAAAGCGCGCGUAGGUGGCUUGAUAAGCCGGUUGUGAAAGCCCCGGGCUCAACCUGGGAACGGCAUCCGGAACUGUCAAGCUAGAGUGCAGGAGAGGAAGGUAGAAUUCCCGGUGUAGCGGUGAAAUGCGUAGAGAUCGGGAGGAAUACCAGUGGCGAAGGCGGCCUUCUGGACUGACACUGACACUGAGGUGCGAAAGCGUGGGUAGCAAACAGGAUUAGAUACCCCAGUAGUC
Molecule: ribosomal RNA, 465 nt
Filed under: Vreelandella stevensii
Lineage: Bacteria; Pseudomonadati; Pseudomonadota; Gammaproteobacteria; Oceanospirillales; Halomonadaceae
Description: partial 16S ribosomal RNA
Rfam family: Bacterial small subunit ribosomal RNA
Source: RNAcentral